This 274-nucleotide ribosomal RNA is filed under the name uncultured bacterium. Its description in RNAcentral is "partial 16S ribosomal RNA". It matches the Rfam family "Bacterial small subunit ribosomal RNA", at positions 523 to 796 of the family's 1533-position model. The record is from RNAcentral.
AUACAGAGGGUGCAAGCGUUAAUCGGAGUGACUGGGCGUAAAGGGCGUGUAGGUGGAUAGAUAAGUUAUGUGUGAAAUAUCCGGGCUUAACCUGGAGGGGUCAUGUAAUACUGUUUAUCUAGAGUAGAGCAGAGGGAAGUAGAAUUUCCGGUGUAGCGGUGAAAUGCGUAGAGAUCGGAAGGAAUACCAGUGGCGAAGGCGGCUUCCUGGGCUCAUACUGACACUGAGGCGCGAAAGCGUGGGUAGCAAACAGGAUUAGAAACCCUAGUAGUCC